CCUACGGGAGGCUGCAGUGAGGAAUAUUGGUCAAUGGGCGGGAGCCUGAACCAGCCAAGCCGCGUGAGGGAAGAAGGUACAGCGUAUCGUAAACCUCUUUUGUCAGGGAACAAAGGCGGGGACUAGUCCCCGGAUGAGGGUACCUGAAGAAAAAGCAUCGGCUAACUCCGUGCCAGCAGCCGCGGUAAUACGGAGGAUGCGAGCGUUAUCCGGAUUUAUUGGGUUAAAAGGGUGCGCAGGCGGCCUGUUAAGGCGGCGGGAAAAGCCCGGGGCUCAACCCCGGCGAGCCGUUGAAACUGGCGGGCUGGAGUUGGAGAGAAGUACGCGGAAUGCGCGGUGUAGCGGUGAAAUGCUUAGAUAUCGCGCAGAACCCCGAUUGCGAAGGCAGCGUACCGGCUCCACACUGACGCUGAGGCACGAAAGCGUGGGUAUCGAACAGGAUUAGAUACCCGAGUAGUC
This 459-nucleotide ribosomal RNA is filed under the name uncultured bacterium. RNAcentral's name for it is "partial 16S ribosomal RNA". It matches the Rfam family "Bacterial small subunit ribosomal RNA", at positions 338 to 795 of the family's 1533-position model. The record is from RNAcentral.